RNAcentral lists this ribosomal RNA (552 nucleotides) under uncultured fungus. RNAcentral describes it as "eukaryotic LSU rRNA". The stretch from base 162 to 315 matches the Rfam family "5.8S ribosomal RNA". The record is from RNAcentral. Lineage: Eukaryota; Fungi.
UCGUGCACGCCCGAGUGCCCUCACACACAUCCAUCUCACCCCUAUGUGCACCACCGCGUGGGUCCCCCUUUGGCUCGUUCGGAGGGGGGCUUACGUUUUCACACAAACUUUGUAUGCAGUGUAGAAUGUAUUUUUUGUUUUUGCGAUCACGCAAUCAAUACAACUUUCAACAACGGAUCUCUUGGCUCUCGCAUCGAUGAAGAACGCAGCGAAAUGCGAUACGUAAUGUGAAUUGCAGAAUUCAGUGAAUCAUCGAAUCUUUGAACGCACCUUGCGCCCCUUGGCAUUCCGAGGGGCACACCCGUUUGAGUGUCGUGAAAUUCUCAAAAACCUUUUUCUUUUGGGAAAGGGUUUUUGGACUUGGAGGCUUUUUGCUGGCUUCACCUUGAAGUGAGCUCCUCCUAAAUGAAUCAGUGGGGUCCCCUUUGCCGAUCCUUGACGUGAUAAGAUGUUUCUGCGUCUUUGGGUUUGGCACUGUCACCUGCUUCUAACUGUCUCAUUGACAAUGAUGGUGUUCCGGUCACCACCGCUCUUAUCGGUGGGAGGCUUGAC